UACAGAGGGUGCGAGCGUUGUCCGGAAUCACUGGGCGUAAAGGGCGCGUAGGUGGCUUGAUAAGUAGGGGGUGAAAUCUCGCGGCUCAACUGCGAGGCUGCCUCCUAAACUGUCGGGCUUGAGCAGAGUAGAGGCAGGUGGAAUUCCCGGUGUAGCGGUGGAAUGCGCAGAUAUCAGGAGGAACACCGAUGGCGAAGGCAGGUCUCUGGGCCACUACUGACGCUGAGAAGCGAAAGCCAGGGGAGCAAACGGG
RNAcentral lists this ribosomal RNA (253 nucleotides) under uncultured bacterium. Its description in RNAcentral is "partial 16S ribosomal RNA". It matches the Rfam family "Bacterial small subunit ribosomal RNA", at positions 524 to 776 of the family's 1533-position model. The record is from RNAcentral.